ACUGCAGACUGUAGAGUGUGUCAUUUUUGUUUUACUAUUGCCAUUGGCAUUUGCAAAUUUAACUUGAUUCCAAGGUGACGGAGCGUAUUGCGUGUAAGGAUUCAGAGUAUAGACCAUGGUUGAAUCUUUUUCGUUAUCAUAACACACAUAGUACAAUAUUAAAAUAUCGAAACUUCCAAGGAAUGCAAAGCUCCACUAGCGUUUUUAUCAUGCGUCCCUUCAGAAAUGUUAAGAAUAAAAAUUGGCGACUUUAUGUUCCAGAUUGUUGAGCCCAUGAACCCAUAGAUGAGUGGUACCAGUUUCUGCAGAGAUUCAAAUCUAAAUAUGUACACGCAUAAAAGAAGUUGUUGUGAAAACAUAAGACAUGUCGUGGUAACAAAUGAAUAUGUCAACAUAGGGAUAACUAAUCAUAUGUUAUGAUAACAAACUAUAGUGGAUAUAUAAUAUUUAUCGAUAAAGAAGUCAGAAUUUAGGGCCAGUUUUUCAAUCAAUGAUUUCGCUAAAACAGUGAUUUCAAAAUUGCCAACUUAAGAAAAUAAAUCACUAAUACUCUGAACUCGUAUAUUAAAAUUAUAAGAGUGUAUAUUCAAGUAGGUAUGUUUACGAAAAUAACAUCAAAAUAAGAAAAGGCAAUGGAUCGUUGCUUGUUAUUGUUUAAAACAAAAAAGAGGAUAUUCAACAGAAUACUGUAUUCUGCACAAUCAAGUAAUCGAACAAAAAUGGAUAAGUUUACUCGUGAAAUUGAUUUUAAAAUCCUCAACGAAAGAUUCAUUGCAAGCGAACAUUUAUUUGUCACCGAUGAUUGGGAAGAUUUAAGUUAUACCAGUCAUUACGGAUUAUU
This 841-nucleotide long non-coding RNA is filed under the name Cotesia glomerata. Its description in RNAcentral is "uncharacterized LOC123270596, transcript variant X1". Lineage: Eukaryota; Metazoa; Arthropoda; Insecta; Hymenoptera; Braconidae. The record is from RNAcentral.